RNAcentral lists this ribosomal RNA (465 nucleotides) under uncultured bacterium. Its description in RNAcentral is "partial 16S ribosomal RNA". It matches the Rfam family "Bacterial small subunit ribosomal RNA", at positions 28 to 507 of the family's 1533-position model. The record is from RNAcentral.
GACGAACGCUGGCGGCGUGCUUAACACAUGCAAGUCGAACGGAAAGGCCCCUUCGGGGGUACUCGAGUGGCGAACAGGUGAGUAACACGUGAGUAACCUGCCCUUGACUUCGGGAUACCUUCAGUAAACUGGGGCUAAUACCGGAUAGGAAUCCUUGCUGCAUGGUGGGGGUUGGAAAGCUUCGGCGGUUUUGGCUGGACUCGCGGCUUAUCAGCUUGUUGGUGGGGUAGUGGCUUACCAAGGCUUUGACGGGUAGCCGGCCUGAGAGGGGGAGCGGCCACAUUGGGACUGAGAGACGGCCCAGACACCUACGGGGGGCAGCAGUGGGGAAUAUUGCACAAUGGGCGGAAGCCUGAUGCAGCAACGCCGCGUGCGGGAUGACGGCCUUCGGGUUGUAAUCCGCUUUCAGCAGGGGCGAAGCUUGUGGUGACGGUACCUGCAGAAGAAGCACCGGCUAACUACGUG